Molecule: unclassified non-coding RNA, 763 nt
Filed under: Hevea brasiliensis (rubber tree)
Lineage: Eukaryota; Viridiplantae; Streptophyta; Magnoliopsida; Malpighiales; Euphorbiaceae
Source: RNAcentral
GCAAAACCAGCAAGAUGGGUUGAUCGAUGGAGAGCUCAAGGAGUCAAAACCAUUCAUCUAAGUGGCAAUUAUCACAAUCCACAAGCCAUAGUAUAUGCCCUUUCUCGCUAAUGCGCCGCGAAGAGAAACGUCGUAAGUUCCAUGAAGCCCUGCUCAACACUCUUUAUCCACCAAAGCCAGAGCCCCAGGCGGAAGAUGAAAAAGAGCCUUUGAGCACUCCUGGGGAAGACUUUGAUGUGAAUCUGAUUCCAGAUGAUUAUGGGCUGCGGCAAAGUAGUUCCUCUACUAGUGAGGAUGAUGGUGAGAGUGACUGCGGGCAACAGAAGUUAACCAGGGCUCAGAGGAAGAGGCUUCGUAAGAAGAAGCUUAAGGAAGAAAAUUCUCGUCGAAGAGAAAUUAUUGGGCCAUUGUUACCUCCAUCAAACAACGAUAGCGGUGGGGAUGGUAGUGGAGCAGUCGAUGAAGACACUCCAGGUGCUCGAGAAAAUGCUGAGGACAGUCAUGGUAACCAAAGCAGCGGAAGCAAGGUAAAGCAGAGGAGGAUGGCGAAGAGGUUGCGAAGGGAAAGGUUGAAAUCUCAACGUGGUGAUGUGUAGAGGGAUUUUAGGAUCAUCAAAUGCUGGAGAAAGCGAUUGAAUCUUAUGUAACUCAACUGCUGGGAGAUUCAUUGGGUCCAUGAAAGGAAAAGCUACAUUGAGUGGGUGCUUAGUUUUUGUAAGUGCAGCAGAUGGUCGGUAAACAGUUGAUUGUUGAUUUGAUUUGG